AGUGAGAGUAGGAAGCAAAAGCAGGAGCUUCCGUCUCCUCUUCCUUCUCUCUUGCCUCAAAUCUCGUAACACAGAUUCUCUGUCUCUUUCUCUCGCACCAGAGAAAGCAAGUAUUACGGAGCGAUCCUAGGUAGAUUCUUCCCCCAAAUUCGAUUGGCCGGCGGUUGGACGGGACCGCCAGAUCUGGCCGCGGGACCGCCAGAUCUGGCCGCCGGACCGCCAGAUCUGACCGUCUGAGGCCUGAGGUCGCGACCCAGGCCGAUCUAAAUCGGGAUUCUUUUUUCGCCGGGAGGCCGUCGGGUCCAUCGCCGAUCCUAACGAGCUGCCGCUCCUUCCCACACCUCCAGCUACCGGAGACGACGAGCCUGCUCUCUGCUCCGAGCCGACGGUGCUUGCGAUCCUUCCUCGUGACGACGAAACCACUCUCUGUUUUCGCAGGUUCGCUCGGGGUCCCUUACGGCUUCGUCUUGCAUCGCCACCGGCAGCCCAAAGUCACUACCGAGACGAGACGAGCCGAGCCGUGUCACAAAUCGUCGGCCGAAUCACCGCCGCGUGCACCUUGCCGAACCGUCACCGCAGCCAUGCUUUGCCAGUGAGCACCUUACCGGUCAUCCGUCGAGGCGAUUCCGAUGAAGUCCAAAUUUGGCACUUUUAUCCUGUGAAGUUAGUAUACCCCCUAGGAUCUCGGUCUUCAUUGGAUUAUCGGUCAUCUGUGUGUGCUCUGCUGCGGAAGCAUUCCGAAAACCUCACCACACCAAGUU
Eucalyptus grandis is the source of this 761-nucleotide long non-coding RNA. RefSeq lists it as uncharacterized. Lineage: Eukaryota; Viridiplantae; Streptophyta; Magnoliopsida; Myrtales; Myrtaceae. The record is from RefSeq and is a predicted model, not a curated record. The transcript is spliced from 3 exons.